GGUGAGUAGCUUAAUGGUAGAGCGCAUGGUUGUGGCCCAUGAAGGUGUGAGUUCGAAUCUCAUCUUUCCACCCA
Molecule: transfer RNA, 74 nt
Filed under: Caudoviricetes sp.
Lineage: Duplodnaviria; Heunggongvirae; Uroviricota; Caudoviricetes
Description: tRNA-His
Rfam family: tRNA
About the family: Transfer RNA (tRNA) molecules are approximately 80 nucleotides in length.
Source: RNAcentral